This 468-nucleotide ribosomal RNA is filed under the name uncultured bacterium. Its description in RNAcentral is "partial 16S ribosomal RNA". It matches the Rfam family "Bacterial small subunit ribosomal RNA", at positions 28 to 507 of the family's 1533-position model. The record is from RNAcentral.
GACGAACGCUGGCGGCGUGCUUAACACAUGCAAGUCGAACGGAAAGGCCCUGCUUGUGUGGUGUGCUCGAGUGGCGAACGGGUGUGUAACACGUGAGUAACCUGCUCUUGACUUUGGGAUAACUUCAGGAAACUGGGGCUAAUACCGGAUAGGAGCUCCUGCUGCAUGGUGGGGGUUGGAAAGUUUGGGCGGUUGGGGGGGGACGGGCGGCUUAUCGGCUGGUUGGGGGGGUAGGGGCUUACCAAGGCUUGGGCGGGUAGCCGGCCUGGGGGGGGGACCGGCCACAUUGGGACGGGGAUACGGCCCAGACUCCAACGGGAGGCAGCAGUGGGGAAUAUUGAACAAUGGGCGGAAGCCUGAUGCAGCAAGGCCGCGGGCGGGAUGACGGCCUUCGGGUUGUAAACCGCUUUCGCCUGUAACGAAGCGUGAGUGACGGUAAUGGGUAAAGAAGCACCGGCUAACUACGUG